CUCUUGGUGGUUUCACAGAGCAUUGGUCUCAGACUGAAUAAAUCCCAGAUUGCUUGGCGCAUACAGCAGCUGGUUACCGUCCAAUGGAUUCGGCUGCCUGAGUCUGAGCUGGUCCUGAGAGGUGAGGGCAGGAAACUGGGCCUUCCUCAGACCCAAUAACACUUUCUGUGUGUGUUUAGGGGCAGGGCGAACGGUCAGCUGUAUGAAGUCGACCUCCAGCUUCAGGCCAACAUCUCUGCUGAAAGCUGCUGCUGGGAAAUGAAGUGUAAUGAGCCGGUCCUCAAACUGGUAAAACAACAGCACGGACACUGGGAAAAACUCCUGAGGAACAAGAAUGUUUUGGUGACUUAUGACAUGGAGCAUUUAGAAGAGGAUGAAAACAGAGCGCCACCUGCCUCAGUGCAGUGGUUUGUGGGAGACACAGGAGAAGAUCACUGGUUUGUGGACUCGGAGAGCAGGAGCGACACUGAUGAUUAGAGAUGAUGAAGCUUGGAGACAUACACCACGACUUUGACGUCUCAUUUGUUAAUGAGAUAACGAGUUU
This 544-nucleotide long non-coding RNA is filed under the name Mastacembelus armatus (zig-zag eel). RNAcentral describes it as "lncRNA (ENSMAMG00000026071.1)". The record is from RNAcentral. Lineage: Eukaryota; Metazoa; Chordata; Actinopteri; Synbranchiformes; Mastacembelidae.